Molecule: ribosomal RNA, 1266 nt
Filed under: Micrococcus sp. CAWF11
Lineage: Bacteria; Bacillati; Actinomycetota; Actinomycetes; Micrococcales; Micrococcaceae
Description: bacterial SSU rRNA
Rfam family: Bacterial small subunit ribosomal RNA
Source: RNAcentral
UGGCGAACGGGUGAGUAACACGUGAGUAACCUGCCCUUAACUCUGGGAUAAGCCUGGGAAACUGGGUCUAAUACCGGAUAGGAGCGUCCACCGCAUGGUGGGUGUUGGAAAGAUUUAUCGGUUUUGGAUGGACUCGCGGCCUAUCAGCUUGUUGGUGAGGUAAUGGCUCACCAAGGCGACGACGGGUAGCCGGCCUGAGAGGGUGACCGGCCACACUGGGACUGAGACACGGCCCAGACUCCUACGGGAGGCAGCAGUGGGGAAUAUUGCACAAUGGGCGCAAGCCUGAUGCAGCGACGCCGCGUGAGGGAUGACGGCCUUCGGGUUGUAAACCUCUUUCAGUAGGGAAGAAGCGAAAGUGACGGUACCUGCAGAAGAAGCACCGGCUAACUACGUGCCAGCAGCCGCGGUAAUACGUAGGGUGCGAGCGUUAUCCGGAAUUAUUGGGCGUAAAGAGCUCGUAGGCGGUUUGUCGCGUCUGUCGUGAAAGUCCGGGGCUUAACCCCGGAUCUGCGGUGGGUACGGGCAGACUAGAGUGCAGUAGGGGAGACUGGAAUUCCUGGUGUAGCGGUGGAAUGCGCAGAUAUCAGGAGGAACACCGAUGGCGAAGGCAGGUCUCUGGGCUGUAACUGACGCUGAGGAGCGAAAGCAUGGGGAGCGAACAGGAUUAGAUACCCUGGUAGUCCAUGCCGUAAACGUUGGGCACUAGGUGUGGGGACCAUUCCACGGUUUCCGCGCCGCAGCUAACGCAUUAAGUGCCCCGCCUGGGGAGUACGGCCGCAAGGCUAAAACUCAAAGGAAUUGACGGGGGCCCGCACAAGCGGCGGAGCAUGCGGAUUAAUUCGAUGCAACGCGAAGAACCUUACCAAGGCUUGACAUGUUCUCGAUCGCCGUAGAGAUACGGUUUCCCCUUUGGGGCGGGUUCACAGGUGGUGCAUGGUUGUCGUCAGCUCGUGUCGUGAGAUGUUGGGUUAAGUCCCGCAACGAGCGCAACCCUCGUUCCAUGUUGCCAGCACGUCGUGGUGGGGACUCAUGGGAGACUGCCGGGGUCAACUCGGAGGAAGGUGAGGACGACGUCAAAUCAUCAUGCCCCUUAUGUCUUGGGCUUCACGCAUGCUACAAUGGCCGGUACAAUGGGUUGCGAUACUGUGAGGUGGAGCUAAUCCCAAAAAGCCGGUCUCAGUUCGGAUUGGGGUCUGCAACUCGACCCCAUGAAGUCGGAGUCGCUAGUAAUCGCAGAUCAGCACGCUGCGGUGAAUACGUUCC